CAACUUUCAGCAACGGAUCUCUUGGCUCUCGCAUCGAUGAAGAACGCAGCA
RNAcentral lists this ribosomal RNA (51 nucleotides) under Cortinarius hallowellensis. Its description in RNAcentral is "partial 5.8S ribosomal RNA". It matches the Rfam family "5.8S ribosomal RNA", at positions 1 to 50 of the family's 154-position model. Rfam says of the family: 5.8S ribosomal RNA (5.8S rRNA) is a component of the large subunit of the eukaryotic ribosome. It is transcribed by RNA polymerase I as part of the 45S precursor that also contains 18S and 28S rRNA. RNAcentral also lists the same sequence under 2 other names. Lineage: Eukaryota; Fungi; Basidiomycota; Agaricomycetes; Agaricales; Cortinariaceae. The record is from RNAcentral.